AGAGUUUGAUCAUGGCUCAGGAUGAGCGCUGGCGGCGUGCCUAAUACAUGCAAGUCGAGCGGUAAGGCCUCUUCGGAGGUACACGAGCGGCGGACGGCUGAGUAACACGUAGGAACGUACCCCAAAGUGAGGGAUAACUGCUCGAAAGAGUAGCUAAUACCGCAUGUGAUCUAAGGAUUAAAGCUUUAUGCGCUUUGGGAACGGCCUGCGUCCGAUUAGCUAGUUGGUAGUGUAAUAGACUACCAAGGCGAUGAUCGGUAGCUGGUCUGAGAGGAUGAUCAGCCAGACUGGGACUGAGACACGGCCCAGACUCCUACGGGAGGCAGCAGUAGGGAAUUUUCCACAAUGGACGAAAGUCUGAUGGAGCAACGCCGCGUGCAGGAUGAAUGUCUUCGGAUUGUAAACUGCUUUUGUUGGUGACGAUUAUGACGGUAACCAACGAAUAAGGGUCUGCUAACUACGUGCCAGCAGCCGCGGUCAUACGUAGGACCCAAGCGUUAUCCGGAAUUACUGGGCGUAAAGAGUUGCGUAGGUGGCAUAGUAAGUAGAUAGUGAAAGCGUGUGGCUCAACCAUACAUCCAUUAUCUAAACUGCUAAGCUAGAAGAUGAGAGAGGUAGAUGGAAUUCCUGAUGUAGGGGUAAUAUCCGUAGAUAUCAGGAGGAACACCGAUGGCGUAGGCAGUCUACUGGCUCAUUCUUGACACUAAGGCACGAAAGCGUGGGUAGCAAACAGGAUUAGAUACCCCCGUAGUCC
RNAcentral lists this ribosomal RNA (754 nucleotides) under uncultured bacterium. RNAcentral describes it as "bacterial SSU rRNA". It matches the Rfam family "Bacterial small subunit ribosomal RNA", at positions 8 to 796 of the family's 1533-position model. The record is from RNAcentral.